Non-coding RNA from Myodes glareolus (Bank vole), 661 nucleotides. The record is from RefSeq and is a predicted model, not a curated record. NCBI's taxonomy places the organism in Eukaryota, Metazoa, Chordata, Mammalia, Rodentia, Cricetidae.
CUGGACAUCGAGAUCGCCACCUACAGGCGCCUGCUGGAGGGCGAGGAGCAGAGGUUGUGUGAGGGCGUUGGCUCCGUGAAUGUGUGCGUGAGCAGCUCCCGCGGUGGCGUCGUUUCUGGCGAUCUCUGCGUCUCUGGUACUGCCCCUGCUGUCAACACCAGAGUGUGCAGCGCCCCCUGCAGCGGCAACGUGGUGGUGGGCACCCCUAAUGCCUGCGCCCCCUGCGCCGGGGUGGGCUCCUGCAGCGGAGGCUGUAAGAAGUGCUAGGAAGCCGCAAUACUGCCACCACCCUCACCCUUCCCAAAGUGACUGCACAGCAGGACAGUGGCCUCGACGCCUCCAUCUCAUUCUCUAGCCUUCCCAAGCAACUUUCUCCGACGAUUCUUGCUUUCAUUUCCCCUUCUGUUGUUUUUACUGGAUUCAUUGGUCUUAAGGUCUUGGAGGAUUCACUGCCCUGGAUCCUCUUUGACCGCCAGGUCCCUAGCAUGUUUUUGCUUGGACAUGCAGAUCAACGUGGUUGCUGGUUUUCCUGCCGCUCAGCAAGAGACCACGUGACCCAGAGUAUCUCCUUCAGGGUCUGCCUGCAGCAGCUCCUCCCAAACCAGGGACCCAGCUGUCUGCACUUUUGCCUUUGUCUCCCUUUGCGUUCCCAAUAAACUAA